CAGGUAGGGAUACCCGCUGAACUUAAGCAUAUCA
This 34-nucleotide ribosomal RNA is filed under the name Cladonia convoluta. RNAcentral's name for it is "partial 28S ribosomal RNA". RNAcentral also lists the same sequence under 4 other names. The record is from RNAcentral. Lineage: Eukaryota; Fungi; Ascomycota; Lecanoromycetes; Lecanorales; Cladoniaceae.